CUGCCCCAGACGGCGUCGCCGAUCAGAAGCCCGACGCGAAGGAGGCUCCCAAGGGGUUCACUCCACCAACUCUGAACGCCGACACCCCGGCGCCCAUCUUCGGUGGAAGCACUGGUGGUCUGUUGCGCAAGGCCCAAGUUGAAGAGUUCUACGUCAUUACCUGGGAAUCACCCAAGGAGCAAAUCUUCGAGAUGCCCACCGGUGGCGCAGCCAUCAUGAGGUCGGGACCCAACCUACUGAAGCUGGCCAGGAAGGAGCAGUGUCUCGCACUCGGGGCUAGGCUGCGCACCAAGUUCAAAAUCCAGUACCAAUUCUACCGUGUGUUCCCUAACG
This 333-nucleotide long non-coding RNA is filed under the name Physcomitrium patens. Its description in RNAcentral is "long non-coding RNA (PPAT_LNC001791)". The record is from RNAcentral. Lineage: Eukaryota; Viridiplantae; Streptophyta; Bryopsida; Funariales; Funariaceae.